GCCCUAGACCAUCGGUUUCCCUGGGCCUUCCUACCUCCAAGGUUAGAGCAGGCGUCCUGACCACACCCCGAAAUUUACUAGCUAGGGAGGCCAGAGGCCACAGGGGAAGGGCAAUAUUGGGGGCUGAACCCGGUAUCUGAAACAUUUUAGGCGUGAACGGCACACCCCAGCUCUCAUUAUUUUAAGAGACUGUGUGAACCAGGCUGAUCUUUAACUGACUCUACAACCCGAGGUGAUCUUGAAAAUGGGCUCCUCCUGCCUCAGCCUUCUGAGUAGCUGGGAUUACAGACAGGGCCUCAGAGGCUACUUUGCUGCUUGGCCUCCUGUGUAGGCCUAACCCUGCCAGGGGCACUGGCUAGCUAAUCCCCCACGCUGACCCUGUGCUCUUGAUGAAGGCGGUGAGGGCUGGAGGGUCUCAGACUGGGCAGUGUGCUCAGAAGACAGUGUUGUGCUUGUCUCCUGCUCCCAUGUUUUGGGACCAGAGGGGCUGGCCACCUCACUGAGACUAAACUUGGUGGCAAAGGGUGGGGUUCGGAGUCCGAAUUCCUGGAACUCAUUUCCUCUAUGGUCCUGUUUAUUCCGAGGGCAAAAGGGCAUCCUAAGCUGCCUUCUGAGCUGGGCGACACAGCCAGAGCUGUGUAUGUGCGCGCAGGUCUCUGAGUGAGACGACAUAGGACCGCUAGCCCCUGGGGACUGUCUUACUACACCUCAGUCCACCGUGUGCAGCUCGACGGCCAACACACACCAGGUGCAGCGCGUGGUACUUGCAUGAACUGUGAACAUAAAAUGCCAAAUACGGUCCAAUGUCCCUCUCCUCCCGGUGUCCGCUGCGUGGCUUGCCCUAAGGCCCGAACUGUUAACUGGGGACAGAGUGUCCGGGAGAGCCACCACAGAGAAUGCGCCAUUGUUAUAUUUCGGAGCAAACAGGACCAGAGAUGCUGAGCGCUCGGUUGAAGCCAAUGAGUUAAUUAGAGACAGUGCCCACAAGGGGGAGGGAAGACGCGCGGAAACCCGAGCGCUGAGGCUCCGGGCUGCAGCGAACAACGAAUGAAACCCGCCGGCGCCAAGUGCUUCCACGCCUCACUGCGUGAACUGAAAUAUUGGAAGCUGCGCCAAAGAGAAGCAGAGGCCUGACUUUCACAUCCACCGUCUCAUCUGACCCGGCCUCCACCCUAAGUUUCUAGGGAAGAAGAGAGUCCACCUCCCCAAACUGCUCCUUACAGAGCAGGUGGCAUUUUAGGAAUGUUAUUCGGCGCACGCACCUGUCAUAGGUUAGUUAACCUCCCAGCAGGCUUUGGGGCAGCACCCUGUAAUCAAGCCUAUUUGCAUUUUGCAUGAAAACGUGAAUAUUUACAAUAAGUAAGGUGGAGGGACAACCAAU
Apodemus sylvaticus (European woodmouse) is the source of this 1381-nucleotide long non-coding RNA. RefSeq lists it as uncharacterized. The record is from RefSeq and is a predicted model, not a curated record. NCBI's taxonomy places the organism in Eukaryota, Metazoa, Chordata, Mammalia, Rodentia, Muridae. The transcript is spliced from 4 exons.